UACGUAGGGUGCAAGCGUUGUCCGGAAUUAUUGGGCGUAAAGAGCUCGUAGGCGGUUUGUCGCGUCCGCUGUGAAAACUCAGGGCUUAACCCUGAGCCUGCAGUGGGUACGGGCAGCCUAGAGUGUGGUAGGGGAGAUCGGAAUUCCUGGUGUAGCGGUGGAAUGCGCAGAUAUCAGGAGGAACACCAAUGGCGAAGGCAGCACUCUGGGACGGUACUGACGCUGAGACGCGAAAGCGUGGGGAGCAAACAGG
This 253-nucleotide ribosomal RNA is filed under the name uncultured bacterium. RNAcentral describes it as "partial 16S ribosomal RNA". It matches the Rfam family "Bacterial small subunit ribosomal RNA", at positions 524 to 776 of the family's 1533-position model. The record is from RNAcentral.